UGAACGCUGGCGGUAUGCUUAACACAUGCAAGUCGAACGGAAACGAUACUAGCUUGCUAGUAGGCGUCGAGUGGCGGACGGGUGAGUAACGCGUAGGAAUCUGCCUGAUAGUGGGGGAUAGCCCGAAGAAAUUCGGAUUAAUACCGCAUAAUCUAUUCGUAGUAAAGUGGGGGACUUUCGAGCCUCACGCUAUCAGAUGAGCCUGCGUAAGAUUAGCUUGUUGGUACGGUAAAAGCCUACCAAGGCGACGAUCUUUAGCUGGUCUGAGAGGAUGAUCAGCCACAUCGGGACUGAGACACGGCCCGAACUCCUACGGGAGGCAGCAGUGGGGAAUAUUGGACAAUGGGGGCAACCCUGAUCCAGCAAUACCGCGUGUGUGAAGAAGGCCUGAGGGUUGUAAAGCACUUUCAAUUGUGAAGAAAAGUUAGCGGUUAAUAACCGUUAGCCUUGACGUUAACUUUAGAAGAAGCACCGGCUAACUCCGUGCCAGCAGCCGCGGUAAUACGGAGGGUGCAAGCGUUAAUCGGAAUUACUGGGCGUAAAGCGUGCGUAGGCGGUUUAUUAAGUCAGAUGUGAAAGCCCCGGGCUUAACCUGGGAACUGCAUUUGAAACUGGUCAACUAGAGUAUGGUAGAGGAAAGUGGAAUUUCUGGUGUAGCGGUGAAAUGCGUAGAUAUCAGAAAGGAACAUCAAUGGCGAAGGCAGCUUUCUGGACCAAUACUGACGCUGAGGUACGAAAGCGUGGGUAGCAAACAGGAUUAGAUACCCUGGUAGUCCACGCCGUAAACGAUGAUAACUAGCCGUUGGGGGGAUUUACCCUUUAGUGGCGAAGCUAACGCGUUAAGUUAUCCGCCUGGGGAGUACGGCCGCAAGGUUAAAACUCAAAGGAAUUGACGGGGACCCGCACAAGCGGUGGAGCAUGUGGUUUAAUUCGAUGCAACGCGAAGAACCUUACCUGGUCUUGACAUCCUGCGAACUUUCUAGAAAUAGAUUGGUGCCUUCGGGAACGCAGUGACAGGUGCUGCAUGGCUGUCGUCAGCUCGUGUCGUGAGAUGUUGGGUUAAGUCCCGUAACGAGCGCAACCCCUAUCCUUAUUUGCCAACACAUCAUGGUGGGAACUAUAAGGAGACUGCCGGUGAUAAACCGGAGGAAGGCGGGGACGACGUCAAGUCAUCAUGGCCCUUACGACCAGGGCUACACACGUGCUACAAUGGGAAGGACAAAGAGCCGCGAAGCCGCGAGGUGUAGCUAAUCUCAUAAACCUUUUCGUAGUCCGGAUUGGAGUCUGCAACUCGACUCCAUGAAGUCGGAAUCGCUAGUAAUCGUAGAUCAGAAUGCUACGGUGAAUACGUUCCCGGGUCUUGUACACACCGCCC
This 1375-nucleotide ribosomal RNA is filed under the name uncultured bacterium. RNAcentral's name for it is "16S ribosomal RNA". It matches the Rfam family "Bacterial small subunit ribosomal RNA", at positions 30 to 1395 of the family's 1533-position model. The record is from RNAcentral.